RNAcentral lists this ribosomal RNA (301 nucleotides) under uncultured bacterium. Its description in RNAcentral is "partial 16S ribosomal RNA". It matches the Rfam family "Bacterial small subunit ribosomal RNA", at positions 509 to 807 of the family's 1533-position model. The record is from RNAcentral.
CAGUCGCCGCGGUAAUACAGAGGGUGCGAGCGUUAAUCGGAUUUACUGGGCGUAAAGCGUGCGUAGGCGGCUUCUUAAGUCGGAUGUGAAAUCCCUGAGCUUAACUUAGGAAUUGCAUUCGAUACUGGGAAGCUAGAGUAUGGGAGAGGAUGGUAGAAUUCCAGGUGUAGCGGUGAAAUGCGUAGAGAUCUGGAGGAAUACCGAUGGCGAAGGCAGCCAUCUGGCCUAACACUGACGCUGAGGUACGAAAGCAUGGGGAGCAAACAGGAUUAGAUACCCGUGUAGUCCCUGUCUCUUAUAC